This 285-nucleotide ribosomal RNA is filed under the name Triticum aestivum (bread wheat). RNAcentral's name for it is "partial small subunit ribosomal RNA". The record is from RNAcentral. Lineage: Eukaryota; Viridiplantae; Streptophyta; Magnoliopsida; Poales; Poaceae.
AUGGAGAAGUGUUGGAGUCGUUUAUGCCCUCCAGAGGCCUCAGGCAAGGGGAUCCGCUUAGCCCUUAUUUAUUCCUCUUUGUUGCAGAUGGUCUUGCUACAAUAUUCAAUAGAGAGGUCCAGGGUGGGAAUAUUUCACCUGUUAAGGUGGCCCGGAGUAGCCCGGGGAUCUCGAAUCUACUGUUUGCGGAUGACAGUUUGGUGUUUUUUAAGGCCUCAUGCGACCAAGCCAGGGCAGUCAAGAAAGCUCUCACUCUGUUCCAAAAAUGCACGGGUCAACUAUUGA